Lemur catta (Ring-tailed lemur) is the source of this 104-nucleotide small nucleolar RNA. RefSeq annotates it as small nucleolar RNA U13. The transcript has a single exon. The record is from RefSeq and is a predicted model, not a curated record. NCBI's taxonomy places the organism in Eukaryota, Metazoa, Chordata, Mammalia, Primates, Lemuridae.
AUCCUUUUGUUGUUCAUAAGUGUGAUGAUUGGGUUUUCAUGCUCACACGUGAGAUAUACCUUCCUCAAACUUUGGUACAAUGUUGGCACGUUACCCAUUUGACA